GCUUGCCCUGCAGAGUGGCUUGGCUUCAUUCCCAAAAAUGGCGAAAAUGGUGGCUUAAAUACAAUAGAAGAACCUGCAACUCGUUUGCGAAACCCUAGACCUCAGUUUCGACUCAUCCUUGACUCUUCGAAUGGCGGCGAUCUCUUCUCCGGCUCAACGCGUCCAGCUUCCAAGCUGCAGGACCUAAUACUGCAUUGCAGUCUGCUUCUAGGAUUUCAGGCAAAUCUAUGACUGUUCCUGAAACUGGAUGGAAUAGUCUUAAUGUCCACUUGAUAUAAAAUACACAGGAAUUGACACCAUUGUUUAUGUAUAUGUGGUUGGGGGCAGGCAAAUUCGGGCGCAGGAGAAGCCAACCAUUUUUGGAGCUGAUACAGGUGCCUUCACUUACAAGGUUUCCUGAUGUAUCUCCAAUGAUUGCAAACGUAUGGAAUUCUCAUGGCAUCAAAUGGUGUCAGGUAGUUCAUCACUCCCCAUAAGAAUGGGCCUGGUUUGUUCAUCCUCUUUGAUCAUGUUUCUUCUAGGGGAAGAAAAGAGUUGUCAAACAUGGUUCGGUUUUAUUUGCGGGAUACAAGGAGCUAACAACUAGCUGAACAAAAGUAAUAGAUUUAAAACAAAAAGUUCUAAAGUUAAAUCACAUCUAGUUGGAGCCAUUGUGGAAGAUGAAGCCCACUGAGCUUUGCCGUCUCUAUCUAUGAGUUCCGGUUUUGUGUUUGGUGACCGACUCGAGUCGUUUAUUGCUCUGUAUCACUUCAAUGUAUUUCCAUGUUACUGGAUGAUUUGCAUAUUACACCAUUUCCACAAGAAGAUCUUAGCAGGCUUUACAUUGCAGUGCUCAAGACCCGUCAGCAAAGCAGCAGCUUCAGCUAAAGUAGCAAUUGAUCGUGCCAAUACGAAUACGAUGUUUUUGGAGUUUGCUAUAAUAACAAAUCCGAGUCUAUUGUAGGAUAAUUUUCCGGCCUAUGACGCAUCACUAAAAAUGGAAAUAGAAUGACUAGAGUGAGGUAAGAAGAAGGUUUCCUGUUGUUUAAUUGCAUUACUCUUGAGAAUUUCUUGGUCUGUUAUAGUGUUUGUUGGAAGAUCUUUGUAUUUUGGGAAGUCAAGCUCCCUUUUGUUAAAUACAUAGAUGGAUCUUGGAAUGGUAACAAAUGUUAUAUGGUGAUGAUUAGA
This is a long non-coding RNA of Dioscorea cayenensis subsp. rotundata (Guinea yam), 1167 nucleotides long. RefSeq lists it as uncharacterized. The record is from RefSeq and is a predicted model, not a curated record. The transcript has 4 exons. NCBI's taxonomy places the organism in Eukaryota, Viridiplantae, Streptophyta, Magnoliopsida, Dioscoreales, Dioscoreaceae.